CUUUGUUUAAACUGCUUUUGCAUCUUCCAUCUCACCCUCUCUGUGUUCCAUCAAGGUUUCCUCAUGUGGUUCUCUCAUGGGCUCCUCUGUGCUCUCUGCCCACAGCCUCCUGGAGGUGCCAUACUGACUGCAGGGCUCGAGCAGAGCCCUGCAAAGCUGGCAGCUGCCAGAAGGAUUUGUUCCAUCCCUGAAUACCUGCGCCGCUGCUUCCCCCCGUGCUGCUGUCAGCAGAGGAACAAACAGGUUCACACCUGCUGCAUAGCUGGCCUUGGAGGAAUGCAUGUGCAAAUUUGGCAGGUUAAAUGCUUGAAGGAAUUGCAGAGUCAGGCUCCUGGAAAAUGAGGGCACACACCAAAAAAUCAGCACCUCAGCACAGGAGCAGGUGAGAAGAUCAGGUGCAGAGAGGUAAGCCAGUGCAAAGCCUUUUAUCCCACUCUUCCUGCAGCCCAGGAAGGAUGCAGAGAUUGCAGAGGGGAGCAGUAUUGCUGUCCCUGCACAGCAGCACCUACCUGGCCACCAAUUUAUCCCCUGGGACGGUUCCCUGUGCAGCUCUGCCCAGGCUUUGAGAAAGCUGUUCCAGCACUCACAUCUGCUGGCUUGGCAGUGCUGCUCUUGCCCUGCCAGGGCCAGUGGGACGGCUUGCAGUGCAGGCUGGAAGCGUUCCCUGGGCUCCCAUGGCUUUUCCUUUGAGGGAGGAGCUGAGAGAUGCCUCAGCUUUGGAGCUGAGUUCUCUGCUGGCACUUGUCACUCCUUGAGUAUUCUGGGCUGGAGCUUGUGCUCUGGUGUAAGAAAAUAAAUCCGCCUCUGAGGAGGCUGGAAGAAAAGUC
Molecule: long non-coding RNA, 827 nt
Filed under: Junco hyemalis (dark-eyed junco)
Lineage: Eukaryota; Metazoa; Chordata; Aves; Passeriformes; Passerellidae
Description: lncRNA (ENSJHYG00000009419.1)
Source: RNAcentral